AAAGGGGUAGCAAUACACCCGGUAAAGUGGCGAACGGGNAGUAACACGUGGGUAACCUGCCCUCGAGCUCGGAAUAACCCGCCGAAAGGUGGGCUAAUACCGGAUAAAGUUCUCGGUUCUUCGGGACUGGGAACCAAAGAUGGCCAAUGCUUGCAAGCUAUCACUUGAGGAGGGGCCCGCGGCCCAUUAGCUAGUUGGCGGGGUAAUGGCCCACCAAGGCGACGAUGGGUAGCCGGCCUGAGAGGGCGAUCGGCCACAUUGGAACUGAGACACGGUCCAGACUCCUACGGGAGGCAGCAGUGAGGAAUCUUGCGCAAUGGGCGAAAGCCUGACGCAGCAACGCCGCGUGGGUGAUGAAGGCCUUCGGGUCGUAAAACCCUGUCAGGUGGGAAGAAUCGGGUGGGGGCUAAUAUCCUCCACUCCUGACUGUACCACCGGAGGAAGCCCCGGCUAACUCCGUGCCAGCAGCCGCGGUAAUACGGAGGGGGCCAGCGUUGUUCGGAAUUAUUGGGCGUAAAGGGCGCGUAGGCGGUCGAGUAAGUCUGACGUGAAAUCCCUUGGCUCAACCAAGGAACUGCGUCUUAAACUGCUCGGCUUGAGUCCGGGAGAGGGUAGUGGAAUUCCCAGUGUAGCGGUGAAAUGCGUAGAUAUUGGGAGGAACACCGGUGGCGAAGGCGGCUACCUGGACCGGUACUGACGCUGAGGCGCGAAAGCUAGGGUAGCAAACAGGAUUAGAUACCCUGGUAGUCCUAGCUGUAAACGAUGGGCACUUGGGUGUAGCGGGUAUCGACCCCUGCUGUGCCGAAGCUAACGCAUUAAGUG
This 822-nucleotide ribosomal RNA is filed under the name uncultured Pseudomonadota bacterium. Its description in RNAcentral is "bacterial SSU rRNA". It matches the Rfam family "Bacterial small subunit ribosomal RNA", at positions 70 to 866 of the family's 1533-position model. The record is from RNAcentral. Lineage: Bacteria; Pseudomonadati; Pseudomonadota.